Molecule: ribosomal RNA, 359 nt
Filed under: Ardeadoris egretta
Lineage: Eukaryota; Metazoa; Mollusca; Gastropoda; Nudibranchia; Chromodorididae
Description: partial 16S ribosomal RNA
Rfam family: Archaeal large subunit ribosomal RNA
Source: RNAcentral
UGUACAAUUAAUGGCCGCGGUACUCUGACCGUGCUAAGGUAGCGCAAUCAAUUGGCUCUUAAUUGGAGUCAGGAAUGAAUGGAGUUACGGGGUUCAGCUGUCUCUCAGCUAAUUAAUCGAAAUUACUAUAUAGGUGAAAAAGCCUAUAUACAGAAAAAGGACGAGAAGACCCUUAGAGUUUUCCCAUGUAAUAUUAAGAAGCUAUUUUACACUGGUUUUGUUGGGGCAACAUAGGAGCAUAAUCUCCUUUAAAUGAACCGAUAAUUUUAAACAUAAAUAAACUACCUUAGGGAUAACAGCAUAAUUUUAUAAAUAAGUUUGUGACCUCGAUGUUGGACUAGGAAACCUAAAGGCUAGUC